UACACCGUAGAGCCGUACCAGCUUUCAGCCCGGAGUCGGGACAUUCGCAGUUCGAAGUUUGUAGUCCGGGGAUCGGUAGUCUGUACUGCCAAGUUCGUUGUCCGUACGUCCAGUGGAAUGGAGUGGCCAUGGCCAUGGCGGUGCGGUUACUGCGUCAUCAUCUCGGGACUCCAGUUGGCCAAUGCAAUCAAAAACGAUUCGCAUCCGCAAUAUCAGCGAUGACCUCAAAAUCAACAUGGCAGCCCGGCCAACCAAUUUAUUUGUUGACCCGUUGGCAAUGCAGUCAAUUUUUCCAACUGCCAGACAGCAGACUACGGACUACAGACUACGGACUGUGGACUACGGACUACGGACUACGGACUAUGGACCACGGAAUACAGACUACGGACUACGGAGGCCCAAUCUGUCCUGCUCGCUUGUUUGUCCGCCGUGCUGGAUAUAAACCUUUGAGUCGCAAUUUUUACGUUCGACUGCGGAAGACCACAAAAUAAUGACAGGAAAUUAUCUCGCAGCAGACGGGUUGCUCUGCUCGUUGGCCGGCAUCCAAAACAAUUUCACUCUGUUGUGAUCCCCAUUUCCAUUCCCAUUCCCCGAACGCCGUGAUAUUCCAUGCCGGAUGGGCUGCAAUCGUAGGCUGAUUCCAACUAAUUCCGGGACUUAUCGGAGCCAAUAAGGGCAAUUUGCAAAGUGCGGUUAAGUUUUUGACAAAGCCUAGCCGACUUCAAAGGGAAACUUUCAAAAUAAUACCCGAGGUAUUUUGAUUCCAGACAAUUGUAACUUGUAUAUUAGCCACGAGCCAAUGUACUCAACUAAUUGCAGUGAUUUGUAGUCGAGUUUUACAAUAAAUGCAAACGGAGCCCUAAGUGCAUUUACCACUUCAAAGUGAGUCAUUAACGAGAGCGUGUUGGCAAAUACAUAGAUUGAUUUAACCGCCUUCGAGUAAUGGACAUUGGACAUUAGACAUCCAGCUAGUGUGUUUGCUCAAUAAACACACGAUGUAAUUUCUAAAUCCAGAAUAAACAUUCGGUGCUGCGUGAGGAGAGUGGGCAAAUCAAAUGUGCAGCUGCUAAUAUGAAAUGUACACAGACGGAAGAGUUAAUCCUCAUCGACAAUUUGACAUCAGCAGUUUCGAUGCUUUUGCUUUCAAAUAACGGAAGCCAUUAAGUUGUCACAUGCAGGCGGCGAUCCCAGUGCCAGUGCCAUAAAAAAAAUAAAUACGUAUACGCCCGGUUGGCUGGCCUCACAUCGGACUCUGACUCGGAUUCGGAUUCGGAUGGGGAUUCGGCUUGGGAUUGGGAUUCGGCAACGGGUUUUGUGCCGGGAUAUGGGCCAUGAUGGUGGUGCAUUUGGGAAAAGCAAGCCACAAGUGGUCAUUCAGACAAAUGGCCAAAUGGCGGUGCUCAUGAAUAAUUCAGAUUUUAAAUUGCAUUUAUGCAAAUGCGGAUGCUCGCAGAUUUUCGCCACUGGCUGUCGCGUUAGUCCGGCACAAAAAGAGGCCCCGUAGUGGGGUAUCCACUACCACCCGUAACCGGGGAAACCUCCGAUCCUCCGAAAACCCGUGAACCCGUGAACCCGAGGGCAAUGCAUUUGCAACUUAAUGCGUCGAAAGCUGCGAGUUUUUGCGCUAAUGCACAAUUUGUAUGCGUCAACACUUUCGUCAGCCCAAAAAAUGGGCAGGAUGCAGCCUCGUCCUUAUCAAAAACCCUAUUGAUAGGACUGGAAGACACCGGCAGCUCCAAAGAAAUGGAGGCCAAGUGACUCAGUGACCUGCAAGACAUAAAAUCCCGUCCAAUCCGGGGCCACCUGUUCCCCGGGCCAACUCUUUGGCAAUUUGUGUGCAUCGCCGACUGCAGAUGUUUUUCCUCCACUCAGUUCGAGGUCUCGCUCCAGAAACUUGCAGAUUUAUUGCCCAGAAACUUUUAUUGCCUGCAAGAAUAUGUACGGGCCGAGAUAAAGAUGCAAUCUGGAACUUGUUUGGCGAGUGAAACACUUUGCCAUCUGCCAUCUGAAAGUGUGUGGGGUAAUUGAAGUCACUCAGUCGAGGAGGUGGCACUUUUCCAGGUCGCCUUUGUCUGUCUGUCUGUCUGUCUGUCUGUGCGUUUCCAUUUCGGUUCCGUUCCAAAGAUUUAGGCAAUUGAAGGACAAUUAAACAUAGGAGUCAACUGAUUUUUUGUACAAGUCCGGCUGCUUGAUAUGUGCCCUCAAAUGCAAAGUGGAUCGCAAACAUGCCUAGUAGUUAAUACGAACGAAUAAAUGGAAUAAAGAAUUCACAAAAAGGUUCUCUUCGCCACUGAAUGUCAGUUCACCUUAAGCCCGAUUGUAAGAUGCUAACCAUUUGGGACACUCUAAUGGCAGCUCUUCG
Long non-coding RNA from Drosophila santomea, 2362 nucleotides. RefSeq lists it as uncharacterized. The transcript is spliced from 3 exons. NCBI's taxonomy places the organism in Eukaryota, Metazoa, Arthropoda, Insecta, Diptera, Drosophilidae. The record is from RefSeq and is a predicted model, not a curated record.